RNAcentral lists this ribosomal RNA (746 nucleotides) under uncultured bacterium. RNAcentral describes it as "bacterial SSU rRNA". It matches the Rfam family "Bacterial small subunit ribosomal RNA", at positions 72 to 811 of the family's 1533-position model. The record is from RNAcentral.
AUAUUGGCUUGCCAAUAUUUGAUGGCGACCGGCGCACGGGUGAGUAACACGUAUCCAACCUUCCGGUUACUCGGGGAUAGGCUUUCGAAAGAAAGAUUAAUACCCGAUGUUGCGUAUCUUUCUCCUGAAAGAUACGCCAAAGGAUUCCGGUAACCGAUGGGGAUGCGUUCCAUUAGGCAGUUGGCGGGGUAACGGCCCACCAAACCUUCGAUGGAUAGGGGUUCUGAGAGGAAGGUCCCCCACAUUGGAACUGAGACACGGUCCAAACUCCUACGGGAGGCAGCAGUGAGGAAUAUUGGUCAAUGGACGGAAGUCUGAACCAGCCAAGUAGCGUGAAGGAUGACUGCCCUCUGGGUUGUAAACUUCUUUUAUACGGGAAUAACAUGAGGUACGCGUACCUUAUUGCAUGUACCGUUAUGAAUAAGCAUCGGCUAACUCCGUGCCAGCAGCCGCGGUAAUACGGAGGAUGCGAGCGUUAUCCGGAUUUAUUGGGUUUAAAGGGAGCGUAGGUGGGAUAUUAAGUCAGCUGUGAAAGUUUGGGGCUCAACCUUAAAAUUGCAGUUGAUACUGGUUUCCUUGAGUACGGUACAGGUGGGCGGAAUUCGUGGUGUAGCGGUGAAAUGCUUAGAUAUCACGAAGAACUCCGAUCGCGAAGGCAGCUCACCGGGCCGGAACUGACACUGAUGCUCGAAAGUGCGGGUAUCAAACAGGAUUAGAUACCCUGGUAGUCCGCACAGUAAACGAUG